AAAAAAUACAGUUUUGCACUGUUUAUAUCCGACGUUUGACUAUUCGUUUUAUUUGAAUUUUUUGUAUGAUUAGUAUUUUUAUUAUUAUUAGAUGAUAGAACAUAAAUAAUACUUUAUAUGUGACUAUUUUUUUUAUAAAUUUUUCAAAUAAGAUGGAUAGUCAAAUGUUGGACACGGAUACCUACGGCUACACUUAUU
Molecule: non-coding RNA, 198 nt
Organism: Oryza glaberrima (African rice)
Lineage: Eukaryota; Viridiplantae; Streptophyta; Magnoliopsida; Poales; Poaceae
Source: Rfam